UGUUUCUGUGUUUUCGAGUCUUGGUUUCAUUGAAUUCGUGGAACGGAAUGCCGCUUCGUUUUUGUUUGAGUGGUCGGUGGAGUGUGUGGAUUCGAGGAUGUGCAUUUUGGUGAUCUGAUUUUGAAGAUUUUGGGAAUUUGAAACGAGGGAUUCUGUUUUGUUUUAUAAAGAUGCAGUCUUUCGUCGACAUUUUAUGUGCAAUCGUAAUUUUUUGACGCUGGAGUGACUGAAACCCAUUGGUGUGUGCAUUGGGGUGGGAGUCAUGGUCCAAGUCAAGAAGGAAGCAUGUACACCAGAGUCAACAAAAGAAGUCCGAUUGGCUUCAUCUUCAUUUUCUGAGAGCAGUUGUGAUACCAUUACUCCAAUAUCUUCCUCUGAUUCUGGAUUCAGUGUUUACAGACGUUCUGGUCCGGCCAGACGUUCCUCCCAAGCAGGCUGGACAAAUGAAGAGGAUAAGCUGCUCACUGAAGUAGUGCAAAGGUUCAAUGGUAGGAACUGGAAAAAAAUAGCCGAAUGCAUGUCCGGAAGGACAGACGUUCAGUGCUUGCAUCGUUGGCAAAAGGUCCUUAAUCCAGCCCUGGUCAAAAGCCCUUGGACGAAGGAGGAGGAUGAUUGUAUUAUCGAGUUAGUUGGGAAGUAUGGCAGUAAGAAAUGGUCCACUAUUGCAAAGUAUUUACCUGGUCGCAUCGGAAAACAGUGCCGGGAAAGGUGGCAUAAUCAUCUUGAUCCAGCAAUAAAAAAAGAUGCAUGGACUGAAGAGGAGGAAGCAAUUCUAGCUCACUACCAUCAAGUGCUUGGUAAUAAAUGGGCAGAAAUUGCAAGGUUUCUACCUGGAAGGACUGACAAUGCUAUAAAAAAUCACUGGAAUUGCUCAGUAAAGAAGAGGCCUGAUUUAAACUUGCCUCGUUUCUCUGCCCUGAAAGUGCAAGGAAGUACAUCUCCAGAUACGUGCAAUGAUGAAGAAAAACAGGGCACCAGCUGUAGAAUCACCGAUACUCUUGGUGAAACCAGGAACUUUGGGCAGAAACCGGCUCCAGAGAAAACUGAUGGUGCCUGUUCAACAAACUUGGUCCUUGGAAAUGCUAAUUUCCCGGGUGAUGGUUCAGAGACAAAACCUGCUUCCCUUAAAAUAUGCAGGUCUCCUGAAGGAGAGAGAAAUCUUAUAGAACCCCUGGAUGGGGAUCAGUUCGGUCAAUUUUCUAGCAUUACAAGUGAUAGUUCUGGGGAACUACUCACUGCCAAUGCCGAUAAAACAAGUUCAGUGAACCCUCUGUCAACUGACUCAUUGAAUUAUACCAUGGAUGCACACUAUCAUACUAGGAAAGACCAUGCCGAUCCUGAUGUUCGUCCAAUUAUAUGUGCAAGAAUGUUUGACUCUCCUAAAAGGCCUAGGUAUAGUCCAUGUGUCACAGACGACAGAUCUGAUUGUUCUCCUGUUGAUACCUUUUUAAGUUUGUCAUUAUGUGGAUCUAGUGAUGAGAGUCAAAAGGCUGAAAAAAGAAGCAGAGUCUGCAAAACCCCUCCUUUGGUGGAUCAGAAAGGUUGUGGCUUCUUGUGUUAUGAGCCACCGCAGUUGACUGAUUUAGAUGCUCCGAAUUCUAGCCGGAGUACCGGCAUAGGCAAAGACAUUGAGCGUACUGGCCUCGAGCUUUUUCAUUCAUAUCCAGGUAACCUGUCUCUGAGCCUCUCUAGUAAUGAUGGUAGUCCAGAAUCUUUGCUGAAGAAUUCAGCUAUGAGUUACAGAAAUACUCCUUCAAUCAUAAGAAGAAAAACUAUUACAGAACCGGCAAGUGGAAGUUACUCUGGUAGUCUCAGCAAUUCGAUGUGUUUUAUCUCAUGUGCUUCUACUAAUAAAGGGGCUAAUGGCUCAAACUUGGUAAGCGAAAAAGGUUGCUUGCAUUGUAAAGAUUCCACAUCUGGGACAUCAGUUAGUGGACAAGCUUUGGAGAGACGCCUGGAAUAUGCAUUUGAUUUGGAAUGGGAUUCAACCACUGCUAGACGUUGUACUCCUGGGUCUACAACUCCGUCAUCAGAGCUUAAAUUUGAUGCCAAAUUGAUGUUGACUCCAUGAUUUGAUUCAGAACUGACCGUUCCCAGCUCUGUGCUUGGUUCCUGUCAUUUUUGUUAGGUUCAAUACAUACUAUCAUUAUACAGCAGAAAGACCAGCUGAUGUAUGUGCAAUAAAUAAAGGGCUGCGACCUCCAAAUUAAUACAAAAGGUGAGAGAAUAAUGAAGGUCUGGAUACAUCUGCGAACAACUGGUAUUCUAGUGGCGCAGGAACAGAAUCAUACAACAUGUCUUGCCUUUAGUCAUACUUGUUGACCCCUCCAUCGCUGGUCUUUUAUAUGAAAGGAAACGUUGAGCAUAAAAAGCUCCCAACUUUCAAGUGUCAAAUGCUAGUUGUUCUCUAAUAAUUCCUGGAUAUUAAGGUUCCAGGAGGUGCUUUAAUCACUAUUUGCCUUCUUGUGAAUAGAGAAUAAUAAGAACAUCUCCAGUCAUUAUGACAAAGUAUGUGGGAAUUUGGAUUUAUUUGAAGGAUACCACAUAUUUGUUGCUCUAUAAUAGGUUAUAUGCCUGUUAGUGAACAUUCGGCAGGACCAGAAAAACUAGCUGAUAAGCACGAAGUCAAAACCAGAGGCAAGCAAAACAUUCUUGGAUUGCAAAUUGUGGUUCAGGGUGUCGCAAGAAAUGAAGCAUCCUAAUUUUCUGACAUCUUGUGUUUAUCUUGGUAAUAUGUUCUAACAGUCCUAUAUUUGGCCAAUUUGGAGUUGUACUCCUGAUGUUGAGUUACAUUUGCAUCUCUGUAAGUGAUUCAGGGCAAUAUAGUUUCAUUUCAUAAUGAACGAGACGUUUUUCUAUGAAGCGUGCAAUGCUGAACAUGAUGUUUUUCU
This is a non-coding RNA of Sesamum indicum (sesame), 2891 nucleotides long. The record is from RefSeq and is a predicted model, not a curated record. Lineage: Eukaryota; Viridiplantae; Streptophyta; Magnoliopsida; Lamiales; Pedaliaceae.